GAUGAACGCUGGCGGCGUGCCUAAUACAUGCAAGUCGAGCGAACGGACGAGAAGCUUGCUUCUCUGAUGUUAGCGGCGGACGGGUGAGUAACACGUGGAUAACCUACCUAUAAGACUGGGAUAACUUCGGGAAACCGGAGCUAAUACCGGAUAAUAUUUUGAACCGCAUGGUUCAAAAGUGAAAGACGGUCUUGCUGUCACUUAUAGAUGGAUCCGCGCUGCAUUAGCUAGUUGGUAAGGUAACGGCUUACCAAGGCAACGAUGCAUAGCCGACCUGAGAGGGUGAUCGGCAACACUAGAACUGAGACACGGUCCAGACUCCUACGGGAGGCAGCAGUAGGGAAUCUUCCGCAAUGGGCGAAAGCCUGACGGAGCAACGCCGCGUGAGUGAUGAAGGUCUUCGGAUCGUAAAACUCUGUUAUUAGGGAAGAACAUAUGUGUAAGUAACUGUGCACAUCUUGACGGUACCUAAUCAGAAAGCCACGGCUAACUACGUG
RNAcentral lists this ribosomal RNA (497 nucleotides) under uncultured bacterium. Its description in RNAcentral is "partial 16S ribosomal RNA". It matches the Rfam family "Bacterial small subunit ribosomal RNA", at positions 28 to 507 of the family's 1533-position model. The record is from RNAcentral.